This is a non-coding RNA of Oryza sativa Japonica Group (Japanese rice), 1919 nucleotides long. The record is from RefSeq and is a predicted model, not a curated record. Lineage: Eukaryota; Viridiplantae; Streptophyta; Magnoliopsida; Poales; Poaceae.
AUUUCCGAUUUAAUUAAAGAAAAAGAAAAACAGAGAGAAAAAGAAAAGGAAAAUCGUCGGCGAUCCAUCUCGCUUCUGCCAUCCCAUCCCCGCCCGAGAUCCAUGCCGGCAGUCCACUCGCGGCCCCCCCCAAGAUCCACCCGCGCAAGUCACAGAUCGCGCCGGCCAUGGCCAUCGGCGGCGACGCGGCGAGCAUGGUGGCCGUCGGCCUCGUGUGGGGCACCACCAACGCCCUGAUGCGCCGGGGCGCGCUUGUCUGGGACCACCGCCUGCGCUCCCUUCCCGCCACCUCCUCCUCCGUCACCGGCGUGCUGCGGCGGUGGGCGGAGCUCCUCCUGACGUGGCAGUACUCGGCGCCGUUCGCCGUCAACCUCGCGGCAUCCGCCGCCUUCUUCAGCCUCCUUGGCGCCGCCCCGAUCUCCGUUGCCGUGCCCGUCACGAACGCCACCACCUUCGCCGCCACCGCUGUCGCCGCCGCCCUCCUCGGCGAGGGCACGCGCGCAGCGCCCGCAGCGCUCGGCACGGCGCUCAUCGUCCUCGGCGUCUGGGUCUGCAUCUCCUAGCACUUCAGGUUGUGAAAAGGGACCCUUUCUUGGGAAUUUCUGUACUUUCUUUUUGUUUCUCUUAAAAUGAUGGAAUAGUAUGUACUCAUGUUUGAUGAAAUUUUCUGUGCAAAGCUUUUGGAAAUGAUGAAUGAAUUAUGGUCGAAUUUAUUCAGCACAGUUGCUGUGCUUGGAAUUCUGGAGAUUGAGCAAACAAAAUGUGAGCCUGUCUCAGCAAGCGAUUCUUGGAAUUCCAUGAUCAGUGUAGAUGAAUCCUCUGAAGAAGAUCCGAGUAAGUGACAGGUUAUUGACAUUCUGCAGUUCACAACUCUGUUUGCCCCCCUGACUCGAGCUAGCUAACAUUGAUGCCAACUUGCCAAGUGUGCAUUCAUGUAUUUUCACAAACAUUUGAUGAUCUUCUCAAUGGCAUUCAUGUAUUUUCAGAAGUUUUCAAACUACACAAAAUGCAAAAUCCAAAGAGAGUGUAGCUUAACUCAGGAGAGGAAAAUUUCUACUCUAUGAUAGAAUCUUAUCAGCCAUUUAUGCUAGUCUAAUCAAUAGUUCAUUACUGAGGCUAACUAGUUGUAAGUUGUAACUUGCAAACACUGGUUUUGUGCACACAAUUAAUUGUCAUGAUUAAACUCUAAUGAGUGAUCUUGUGACUUGUGAGCAUGCCCAUUCUACUGUCUGAUGUGAAUCCCUAUCAAAGGAGCAUGGCCCAUCACCAUGAGAUUUUUUUCAGCACUUUGACAAGGAUAGCCAUAGACCAGUACAAGUGUACAACUGAAAUGUAAUAAGCUGGAGGGCUCACAUGCAUCUCCUGCCUCCAUCCUGGACACACCUUGCAGGAUGGAUGGCUAGGAUUGAUGAUCAGCAAGCACCUCCUCCAAUGGAUUAUGGAUGUCUCAUAAUCAGAGUCAAAGCAGAGGAGAAAUCACAAAUUCACAAUUCACAACUACCAGCAGGCAUGGGGAGACAGCAUGCAUGGUUGAUGGUCCUUGGCAGCUAUCACCCAAAAAUUCAGAGUGAGAUGUUUGCUGCUGCAUCUGCAAAUUCAAGUACAUGGGCUGAUGGGCACAUGGCUGCAUGAUCUGUAUAUCUGCAAGUACUUUGUGGAGUUUGUAGCACCACGGUUCAUAGCUUUGACCACAUCAAGGUGCUAGUUGCAGUGAAAGUUGUGAAGUGGAUGUUGCAGUUGAUUUGUGGAUGUUUUGCUACCAGGGCAGAGGAAGAGUAGAUACAGAAAAUAAAAUUACUCCCUCCAGAUAAAAAAUAAUUACGUUUGACUUUCUUCUUUCAUGUUCCUUAUAGUGUGACUUUGCGCACGGUUUAAUAAAAAAAUGUACAAAAUCUUUUUUAUACAGCAUAGGCUUGUCA